RNAcentral lists this ribosomal RNA (460 nucleotides) under uncultured bacterium. RNAcentral's name for it is "partial 16S ribosomal RNA". It matches the Rfam family "Bacterial small subunit ribosomal RNA", at positions 338 to 795 of the family's 1533-position model. The record is from RNAcentral.
CCUACGGGGGGCAGCAGUGAGGAAUAUUGGUCAAUGGCCGUAAGGCUGAACCAGCCAAGUCGCGUGAAGGAAGAAGGAUCUAUGGUUUGUAAACUUCUUUUAUAGGGGAAUAAAGGUAUCCACGUGUGGAUAUUUGCAUGUACCCUAUUAAUAAGCAUCGGCUAACUCCGUGCCAGCAGCCGCGGUAAUACGGAGGAUUCGAGCGUUAUCCGGAUUUAUUGGGUUUAAAGGGUGCGUAGGUUGUAUUUUAAGUGAGCGGUGAAAGUUUGUGGCUCAACCAUAGAAUUGCCGUUGAAACUGGAAGACUUGAGUGUGUUAGAGGUAGGCGGAAUGCGUGGUGUAGCGGUGAAAUGCAUAGAUAUCACGCAGAACUCCGAUUGCGAAGGCAGCUUACUAAGCCAUAACUGACACUGAAGCACGAAGGCCAGGGGAGCGAAAGGGAUUAGAUACCCGUGUAGUC